CCUACGGGGGGCAGCAGUGGGGAAUAUUGGGCAAUGGGCGCAAGCCUGACCCAGCAACGCCGCGUGAAGGAAGAAGGCUUUCGGGUUGUAAACUUCUUUUAAGAGGGAAGAGCAGAAGACGGUACCUCUUGAAUAAGCCACGGCUAACUACGUGCCAGCAGCCGCGGUAAUACGUAGGUGGCAAGCGUUGUCCGGAUUUACUGUGUGUAAAGGGCGUGCAGCCGGGAAGACAAGUCAGAUGUGAAAUCCCGCGGCUAAACCGCGGAACUGCAGGUGAAACUGUUUAUCUUGAGUACCGGCGAGGUCAUCGGAAUGCCUGGUGUAGCGGUGAAAUGCGGAGAGAUAAGGAAGAACACCAGGGGCGAAGGCGGAUGACUGGACGGCAACUGACGGGGAGGCGCGAAAGCGUGGGGAGCAAACAGGAGGAGAUACCCGAGGAGUC
RNAcentral lists this ribosomal RNA (442 nucleotides) under uncultured bacterium. RNAcentral describes it as "partial 16S ribosomal RNA". It matches the Rfam family "Bacterial small subunit ribosomal RNA", at positions 338 to 795 of the family's 1533-position model. The record is from RNAcentral.